This 127-nucleotide transfer RNA is filed under the name Erwinia aphidicola. Its description in RNAcentral is "tRNA-OTHER". The record is from RNAcentral. Lineage: Bacteria; Pseudomonadati; Pseudomonadota; Gammaproteobacteria; Enterobacterales; Erwiniaceae.
UUGGAUGUAGCUCAGAUGGAUAGAGCGGGCUAUGGAUUGCUGGCCAGCAACUGACGCAACGGUUUGCAAGCCCAAGCGUUAAGUUUUCCUAAAAGUGCGGUCGCCGGUUCGAGUCCGGCCAUCCAAU